AGUGGACGCUGGCGGUAGGCCUAACACAUGCCAGUCGAACGGCAGCACAGUAAGAGCUUGCUCUUACGGGUGGCGAGUGGCGGACGGGUGAGGAAUACAUCGGAAUCUACUUUUUCGUGGGGGAUAACGUAGGGAAACUUACGCUAAUACCGCAUACGACCUACGGGUGAAAGCAGGGGAUCUUCGGACCUUGCGCGAUUGAAUGAGCCGAUGUCGGAUUAGCUAGUUGGCGGGGUAAAGGCCCACCAAGGCGACGAUCCGUAGCUGGUCUGAGAGGAUGAUCAACCACACUGGAACUGAGACACGGUCCAGACUCCUACGGGAGGCAGCAGUGGGGAAUAUUGGACAAUGGGCGCAAGCCUGAUCCAGCCAUACCGCGUGGGUGAAGAAGGCCUUCGGGUUGUAAAGCCCUUUUGUUGGGAAAGAAAAGCAGCAGGUUAAUACCCCGCUGUUCUGACGGUACCCAAAGAAUAAGCACCGGCUAACUUCGUG
RNAcentral lists this ribosomal RNA (492 nucleotides) under uncultured bacterium. RNAcentral describes it as "partial 16S ribosomal RNA". It matches the Rfam family "Bacterial small subunit ribosomal RNA", at positions 29 to 507 of the family's 1533-position model. The record is from RNAcentral.